Nippostrongylus brasiliensis is the source of this 72-nucleotide non-coding RNA. Lineage: Eukaryota; Metazoa; Nematoda; Chromadorea; Rhabditida; Heligmosomidae. The record is from Rfam.
ACAUCGGUAGCUCAGUGGUUAGUGCAGUCUAGCGGAAACAGAAAGGCGCGGGUUCAAUUCCCGCCCGAUGUG